This is a non-coding RNA of Pelobates cultripes (western spadefoot toad), 201 nucleotides long. NCBI's taxonomy places the organism in Eukaryota, Metazoa, Chordata, Amphibia, Anura, Pelobatidae. The record is from the annotation of a GenBank genome assembly.
AUACACUAUAACUGUAUGGCCUUAUAUUACAUUAUAUACUGUAACUGUGUGACCUUAUAUUAUAUACAGUAACUUUAUGACCUUAUAUUACAUGAUAUACUGUAACUGUAUGGUCUUAUAUAAUAUACUGCAACUGUAUGACCUUAUGAUAUACUGUAACUGUAUGACCUUAUAUCCUGUAACUGUAUGACCUUAUAUAAU